This 389-nucleotide unclassified non-coding RNA is filed under the name uncultured fungus. Its description in RNAcentral is "sequence contains ITS1". The stretch from base 1 to 105 matches the Rfam family "5.8S ribosomal RNA", at positions 50 to 154 of the family's 154-position model. The record is from RNAcentral. Lineage: Eukaryota; Fungi.
GAAGUGCGAUAAGCAAUGCGAAUUGCAGAAUUCCGCGAAUCAUCAGAUCUUUGAACGCAAAUGGCGCUGGAGGGAUAUCCUUCCAGCAUGUCUGUUUCAGUGUCUGAGAGGUUUCACACUAAUCUUAAUGUGAUUGAAGGGUUGGUUGGUUGGUUGGUUGAUUGAUUGAUUAAUUUUGAUCGAUCACACACUCACUCACACACAGCUCUUCUCUCAUGAAAGAUGCGUGAGUGGAUCUUUCGGUCCAAUGAAGUGGUCACAUCACUCGUAUGUGAUUUCAUUGGGAAAAUCACCGAAUUAUCCGUAUGCUCACAGUACCAUAAACAAACAAACAAACAAACCUUCCAUACCCUGCAUCUGAGAUAGGCAAGAUCACCCGCUGAACUUAA